Molecule: ribosomal RNA, 461 nt
Filed under: Pseudomonas sp. RHF23
Lineage: Bacteria; Pseudomonadati; Pseudomonadota; Gammaproteobacteria; Pseudomonadales; Pseudomonadaceae
Description: bacterial SSU rRNA
Rfam family: Bacterial small subunit ribosomal RNA
Source: RNAcentral
AGAGUUUGAUCCUGGCUCAGAUUGAACGCUGGCGGCAGGCCUAACACAUGCAAGUCGAGCGGUAGAGAGGUGCUUGCACCUCUUGAGAGCGGCGGACGGGUGAGUAAUGCCUAGGAAUCUGCCUGGUAGUGGGGGAUAACGCUCGGAAACGGACGCUAAUACCGCAUACGUCCUACGGGAGAAAGCAGGGGACCUUCGGGCCUUGCGCUAUCAGAUGAGCCUAGGUCGGAUUAGCUAGUUGGUGGGGUAAUGGCUCACCAAGGCGACGAUCCGUAACUGGUUUGAGAGGAUGAUCAGUCACACUGGAACUGAGACACGGUCCAGACUCCUACGGGAGGCAGCAGUGGGGAAUAUUGGACAAUGGGCGAAAGCCUGAUCCAGCCAUCCCGCGUGUGUGAAGAAGGUCUUCGGAUUGUAAAGCACUUUAAGUUGGGAGGAAGGGCAUUAACCUAAUACGUUAG